AUGUUGUAGACUUGUAUAUCAUGCUUCUUAGAUAAUCCAGCUUGAUUUCUGAAACAAUUCCUUUCCACGGAGAUUUCCAGGCAUAGCUUACGCAAGCAAGGCUUCCGAGUAGGAAGGUCAGAUUGCGCGCUGUAAUCGAUGAGAUCGAGGCUCUGAAACCGGAAUUCGGGGAGUGGAUUAACUGGAUAUAGCCAACGAUGAAUCCUUUUGUGUUGGAAGUGGUUCCCAGUGGUAUUGUAUACUCCAGGACCUCUCUUUAAUGCUACGACCAACUACAGUGUUGUUGUUAGAGUCUUCAAUCAUUUGGAUGAUCCUCUUCUUUUGACUUGGUCUGGGCCGCCUGGCAUCCAAAUGCAGCGUCACUUGUGGCAAGACGGUCUUCCUGGCACACACUUCCUCCGAGAUGGAACUUUACUUACCAGUUUCAGGUGGAAGAUCAAAUUGGAAGCUUCUGCUCUCCCUUACUCAACUUCCAGAGAGCAUCUGCUAAGUUUGUUCAUGUUGUGAUUAAUAACUGGAACAUUAAAUCUUAUCCUUUUCCCACAGUCUGACGGCAAAAUGGUUUUAAGAAUAUUACUUGACUAUGGGAAAGAACUUGGGAUGCCGGAUGGAGUCCUCAUCAUGGACAGUGUCCUUACAAGUACAGCAGUAGUGUACCUGAUGGAAUUGAUUACUUAACCGCUCAUGUUGAACUAGGUACUAAGAGUUUUUCUAUCACUUUGUCUGAUGAGACGGAUGUCUCUUCGCAUGUGACUUUCCCACUAUGGGAAAACACUCGAAAGCUUGAAGCUCAUGUUGUUUACUUUCUCUACAAUUCUAGAUUUUAGUACAAC
This is a long non-coding RNA of Brassica oleracea var. oleracea, 833 nucleotides long. RefSeq lists it as uncharacterized. The record is from RefSeq and is a predicted model, not a curated record. Lineage: Eukaryota; Viridiplantae; Streptophyta; Magnoliopsida; Brassicales; Brassicaceae. The transcript is spliced from 5 exons.